Molecule: non-coding RNA, 165 nt
Filed under: uncultured Cetobacterium sp.
Lineage: Bacteria; Fusobacteriati; Fusobacteriota; Fusobacteriia; Fusobacteriales; Fusobacteriaceae
Description: Lysine riboswitch
Rfam family: Lysine riboswitch aptamer
About the family: Riboswitches are metabolite binding domains within certain messenger RNAs that serve as precision sensors for their corresponding targets. Allosteric rearrangement of mRNA structure is mediated by ligand binding, and this results in modulation of gene expression.
Source: RNAcentral
UUAGGUAGAGGUUGCAAACAACAAGAGUAUUUUAAAAGAGCCAGACAAGGCGUUGAAAUUAAAAGAAAGGGAAGUUUGCCGAAAUGGAGAUUGUGUCAAAAAUCUUUGUUGGGAAUAUAGAGAAUAUCUAUAUUACUGUCACUAGAGAACUAGUGUUGUGCUAUC